This 681-nucleotide ribosomal RNA is filed under the name Arthrobacter sp. Its description in RNAcentral is "bacterial SSU rRNA". It matches the Rfam family "Bacterial small subunit ribosomal RNA", at positions 329 to 1018 of the family's 1533-position model. The record is from RNAcentral. Lineage: Bacteria; Bacillati; Actinomycetota; Actinomycetes; Micrococcales; Micrococcaceae.
CCCAUUUCUCCUUGCGGGAGGCAGCAGUGGGGAAUAUUGCACAAUGGGCGGAAGCCUGAUGGCAGCGACGCCGCGUGAGGGAUGACGGCCUUCGGGUUGUAAACCUCUUUCAGUAGGGAAGAAGCGAAAGUGACGGUACCUGCAGAAGAAGCGCCGGCUAACUACGUGCCAGCAGCCGCGGUAAUACGUAGGGCGCAAGCGUUAUCCGGAAUUAUUGGGCGUAAAGAGCUCGUAGGCGGUUUGUCGCGUCUGCCGUGAAAGUCCGGGGCUCAACUCCGGAUCUGCGGUGGGUACGGGCAGACUAGAGUGAUGUAGGGGAGACUGGAAUUCCUGGUGUAGCGGUGAAAUGCGCAGAUAUCAGGAGGAACACCGAUGGCGAAGGCAGGUCUCUGGGCAUUAACUGACGCUGAGGAGCGAAAGCAUGGGGAGCGAACAGGAUUAGAUACCCUGGUAGUCCAUGCCGUAAACGUUGGGCACUAGGUGUGGGGGACAUUCCACGUUUUCCGCGCCGUAGCUAACGCAUUAAGUGCCCCGCCUGGGGAGUACGGCCGCAAGGCUAAAACUCAAAGGAAUUGACGGGGGCCCGCACAAGCGGCGGAGCAUGCGGAUAAGUUCGAUGCAACGCGAAGAACCUUACCAAGGCUUGACAUGAACCGGUAAGACCUGAAACAGGCCCCCCCG